UACGGAGGGUGCAAGCGUUAUCCGGAUUCACUGGGUUUAAAGGGUGCGUAGGUGGGCAGGUAAGUCAGUGGUGAAAUCUCCGGGCUUAACCCGGAAACUGCCAUUGAUACUAUUAGUCUUGAAUACCGUGGAGGUCAGCGGAAUAUGUCAUGUAGCGGUGAAAUGCUUAGAUAUGACAUAGAACACCAAUUGCGAAGGCAGCUGGCUACACGAAUAUUGACACUCAGGCACGAAAGCGUGGGGAUCAAACAGG
Molecule: ribosomal RNA, 253 nt
Filed under: uncultured bacterium
Lineage: Bacteria
Description: partial 16S ribosomal RNA
Rfam family: Bacterial small subunit ribosomal RNA
Source: RNAcentral